GAAUGAAUGAACUGUUAAGGCAAACAAAGAAUCCAUUGCCUUCAGAAGUGAUAUACAACUUUGCUUUACUCAAACCUCUGCUGAAGUCAAAUAUUUUGAACCUGUUCUCUUGAGGUUUGACUUAUCGAGAUUUCAUUGUAAUUUCUUACAAAUGACAAUUUCUUACAUUCUUUGAUUUUGUACUGAUCAAUGCCUACCUCUGCUCAUGCAUCAGUGAGUUCCAUUGUUUGAAAAUGGUAUUUAUGAACUUUCUGUACAGUUUUGGUAUUUGUGAACAUGUAAAAUUAAAGACAAGUAGCUUCAAUGAUUAUUUUAAGAAAAAUGAACAAAACAGGAUUUCCAUUGUGAUCUUGUGUCGCAUUGCAAGUUGCAUAUCAAACAUCAAGGACAUGGUUCAUGCAUCUUCGAACAUCGUUGGCAAGACAGUGCAGCAGCCGAUACUCAAUGCUGUCAGGAGUCGCUUUCAGGAACUUUCGGGGACACAGCAUAAAUAUGCUAAAUUGAGCUCCCGGAUUGCUGAAUUUGACUCCCUGUGAUGCGUGUGCAUGUAGAUGCAAGGUGUUCACUCCUGAAUGACUCAGAUUACCAAUUCUGUUUUGUGAAAUGUUUUUAUUAAAUUGCAUUUCCCUUUGAAUCUACUUGUCUGGCUGUGUUCACAAUGUUCUACAAAAAUUUCCCAAGAAGGUUUGUAUGUAGCAUUUUCAAAACGAUUGGAACUCAGUGAUGCAUAAUGAGCAGGGGGUAUGCCUCAGUACAAAAUCAGAGAAUGUAGGAAAUGUCAAUUUUAUUUGUAGGCAAAGCUACCGGUAGGCUACGCCAACCCAUGCAGAUCCAUCAAUACCCCUGAGGCAGUGAACAUCAUGCUUGACAGCUAGUGCUCAGGAACUGACCAAGGAACUCGGGGCAGCUUCAAUUUGUAUACAACAUCUCUGAAAAGAUCCAGAAGGAUCAAGACAAGGCAAGAGAAGAAAAGAAGAGGAGAUACAAGAGCCUGAGAGUCACAGUUAUUACGCAAUUAAACUUCUAUUUUUGACGAGAGAAAAGAGGAGGAGAGAAAAGAGGAGGAAAAGACAAGAGCCUGAGGCCUAUGUUCAUCACACCAGCGUGGGGAGCAGUCUUCCAACCGCUGUGCUGUGCCUGACAAAUGGAAUUGGGGUCUGGACAUUUAACGAUACUGACACAUAUAGUUGAAAUGGAUUGAUGAACUGAUGGAGAGACCAACUAAAAACAGACGUUUUCCUACAACGUCAUGUCAGACUGACAGGUCGUUUCCCAUUCUUGGCCCCUUUGCUCUUUUAGGCCUCUUUGCUCUUUUAGGCCCCUUUGCUCUUUUAGGCCCCAUCCCCAUUUUAAAUGGACACGCCAGAAUAUACGUACUGAUUAAAAAUCAGAAACCUUGCUCGUAGUGAAUACAGGACUGGUAUCAAAUACCCUGCAAAAGGAUUUCACCUAAAAUUGUGUUGUUUGGAAGAAACUUAAACUUUAAGGUGAUUUUAAAAUGUGUGCCCAUGUGCACCCUUUUUUUUAAGUGGGUGCCCGUGGGCACACGUUUUCGAAAUGUGUGCCCAUGGGCCAUGUAGAGCUAUAUUAAAUUACUAGAGUGCUAACUCCUCAUUCUUGCGCGCAGAGACGCUUUGAAGCCGCUCUGGGCACAGACAUUUUGAACUUAUGUGUGUUUUUGCAGAACACAAUCA
Patiria miniata (bat star) is the source of this 1694-nucleotide long non-coding RNA. RefSeq lists it as uncharacterized. The transcript is spliced from 5 exons. NCBI's taxonomy places the organism in Eukaryota, Metazoa, Echinodermata, Asteroidea, Valvatida, Asterinidae. The record is from RefSeq and is a predicted model, not a curated record.